CCCCUUCCGGUCAGUGAGGAAGCUAAACCUCAUCAACCGGAAGGGAUUCCUUCCGGUCGAUGAGGAAGAUAUCCCUCAUCAACCGGAAGGGAUCCCUUCCGGUCAAUGAGGAAUAUUGAACUCAUCAACCGGAAGGAAUUCCUUCCGGUUGGUGAGGUUGAGCUGCCUCAUUGACCGAAAGGGA
This 184-nucleotide microRNA precursor is filed under the name Puccinia graminis f. sp. tritici CRL 75-36-700-3. Its description in RNAcentral is "microRNA MIR807". The record is from RNAcentral. Lineage: Eukaryota; Fungi; Basidiomycota; Pucciniomycetes; Pucciniales; Pucciniaceae.